RNAcentral lists this ribosomal RNA (253 nucleotides) under uncultured bacterium. RNAcentral's name for it is "partial 16S ribosomal RNA". It matches the Rfam family "Bacterial small subunit ribosomal RNA", at positions 524 to 776 of the family's 1533-position model. The record is from RNAcentral.
UACGUAGGAGGCGAGCGUUGUCCGGAUUUACUGGGCGUAAAGCGCGCGCAGGCGGCACUUCAAGUAAGGUGUGAAAUCUCCCUGCUCAACGGGGAGGGUGCACUUUAGACUGAGGAGCUAGAGGACGGUAGAGGGGGGUGGAAUUGCUGGUGUAGCGGUGAAAUGCGUAGAGAUCAGCAGGAACACCCGUGGCGAAGGCGGCCCCCUGGGCCGUACCUGACGCUGAGGCGCGAAGGCUAGGGGAGCAAACGGG